RNAcentral lists this ribosomal RNA (431 nucleotides) under uncultured bacterium. RNAcentral's name for it is "partial 16S ribosomal RNA". It matches the Rfam family "Bacterial small subunit ribosomal RNA", at positions 29 to 507 of the family's 1533-position model. The record is from RNAcentral.
AACGAACGCUGGCGGCAGGCCUAACACAUGCAAGUCGAGCGCCCUUUCGGGGGAGCGGCGGACGGGUGAGUAACGCGUGGGAAUAUGCCCUUCUCUACGGAAUAGCCUCGGGAAACUGAGAGUAAUACCGUAUACGCCCUUUGGGGGAAAGAUUUAUCGGGGAAGGAUUAGCCCGCGUUGGAUUAGGUAGUUGGUGGGGUAAUGGCCUACCAAGCCAACGAUCCAUAGCUGGUUUGAGAGGAUGAUCAGCCACACUGGGACUGAGACACGGCCCAGACUCCUACGGGAGGCAGCAGUGGGGAAUCUUAGACAAUGGGGGCAACCCUGAUCGAGCCAUGCCGCGUGAGUGAUGAAGGCCUUAGGGUUGUAAAGCUCUUUCAGCUGGGAAGAUAAUGACGGUACCAGCAGAAGAAGCCCCGGCUAACUCCGUG